GGAAACGACUGCUAAUACCGCAUAAUGUCUUCGGACCAAACGGGGCUUCGGCUCCGGCGCAAAGAGAGGCCCAAGUGAGAUUAGCUAGUUGGUAAGGUAACGGCUUACCAAGGCGACGAUCUCUAGCUGUUCUGAGAGGAAGAUCGGCCACACUGGGACUGAGACACGGCCCAGACUCCUACGGGAGGCAGCAGUGGGGAAUAUUGCACAAUGGGGGAAACCCUGAUGCAGCUAUGCCGCGUGUGUGAAGAAGGCCUUCGGGUUGUAAAGCACUUUC
RNAcentral lists this ribosomal RNA (277 nucleotides) under uncultured bacterium. Its description in RNAcentral is "partial 16S ribosomal RNA". It matches the Rfam family "Bacterial small subunit ribosomal RNA", at positions 152 to 437 of the family's 1533-position model. The record is from RNAcentral.